RNAcentral lists this long non-coding RNA (1974 nucleotides) under Nicotiana benthamiana. RNAcentral describes it as "long non-coding RNA (NBEN_LNC028752)". The record is from RNAcentral. Lineage: Eukaryota; Viridiplantae; Streptophyta; Magnoliopsida; Solanales; Solanaceae.
UGAAUGUGACCACCAGCAACAAUUGAAGAAAUAAGUGAUGGAUCCAAAUAUAAUAAGAGCCAUAACCUUAUUUAUUAACCCUUGCCAAUCUCGAAUAGCACUUAAUAGCAGAAUCUUUAAACUUUAAUUCCCGCGGAAGCAUGCCUAGAAUUUCCCCAAAGGCAAAAAAACAGUGCAUCAAUCGAACACAACAACCAAAUUGCCAAAUAACUAGAGUGGAAGCAAAUUCUAGUUGUGAUUAAAGAAGCUUUAAGGAAAUCAUCAGAGGCAAUGGUUUAAAACAUAGAACUGGAACUUCAUUUUUACAGAUGCUAAAUGUCAAUGUGCUUAUAGACGCUAACUUUAGUGCACCAGCUCUUCUAUUUGAUUAACAAUUGUAAAAUCAAGCAACUUCUUAGUUAGUCAUGUAACUACUCAACAAAUCACAACCACAGUACUAACAAUGCAGAGUAUGCACCCAAAACGUGUAGAUAUGUGGCCUAAACAGUACAAGACAGGGCAAAUUCUAACAUGUCUCGCUGUCCGGACAAUUGUCUAAAAUACUGCAGGUGAUUGGCUCGAUUUAUUGCCCCAAAUCAAUUGUCUUCAGCAUCUCAAACGAGUGGAAGUUAUUAUGGCAGAAACAUUGCAGAUAGACUUUCGAACAAGGGAAGGAAAACAGAACAGAUACGAACACAUACGCUUAAUGAAACAAUUCGAUUUAGACAACAUUUAAACCAUGAUCUAAUAAGAAGAAAGUAUCGAGCAGCUCCAAAUAUACCCGUUGGUUGCACCUAGAUUCUAAUACGAGGGAUCAUACAAAGACAAGUUAAACAGUCCACUAAGCUUGCACCAAAGAGAGUGCAACAGAUUUACUCAUGCCACAAACUAGUAGCAAUCCAAAAUUUUCAAAUAAUUGAACUAAACGACAGUAUACGGAAGACAAUCAAGAAGAUUCUCAUGACAUAUUUCAUGUCGUGUCUCAUUAAAAGAACAUCAAACUAGUACACGAUGAGCUCGCGCUCACGUCCACAGUCACACAGUCCAUUCGAGCUUCAUUAAACAUGCCGAAUACUACUUCGACUAAGCCAUUUCAGCAAAGAAGCAAACAAAAUGUAUUCCCAUACCUCUUUGAGUUAAGGCUCAAAUUAUAUUUAGAUCCAAGGCAAAACAAGUAAGAUGAGAAGUACCUGAAAUUAGCCUUGUAAUUAAUAAAACUUCAGCAAUUACAGCGAAUGAUUCGAGCCAAGUCUAACAAAUCCGCAACAGGGAAUUUCAGCCAGAAUCACCAACGAGAAAUAAGAAACCUCGACCGGAAUCCACGACGAACAACAAUGACGACACACUCGAAACAAACUCCGCUCAGUCGAACUCCAUUUUCAGCAAAAAUUCAAGGAAGAGGACGAAAUAGUACUGGUGUUUCUCUUUUUUUAGAAUUUGUUUUUCGAAAUAUCACGAAGAAAAUAGAAAGAAGCCCCAACUUUCAGCCCAGUUUCUAAAUUUUAAAGGAUUGGUUUCUGAAAGCCUCAAACCCUCACUGCUUCUUCUCCCGUUUUUCCCGAAAAAUUUCCCAAAAAACCUCAAAAAAUUCAGUCUCAAAUGCUUCUCAUAUAUAUAUGAAGCCUAGAAGCUUCUAUUCUUCCUCCCCAAGAAUCGAAUCCGCGUGGACACCCAAAACAAAUCCGAAAAAUCCCAUUUUAACAAAAAUCAAAAAAUAGAAAUCUUGGAUAAAAAAUUAAUCCAACGACUCCCAUUUUUCAAAAUUUAUUUCAAGGGCUCGGAUUUGAUUCCAAAUCGAACGAAAAAGAAAGAAAAACACGUUCAUCAUGAUUAGGAACACAUGGAAGAAGGAGAUUAGAGUAGAGGGGGACCAGGGCUUACGUGGAACACUGGAAAAUAGAUUUUCCGGUGGGUUUAGGGCUGCUGGUCGCGGCAGACAUGGGGGUGGCGGCUGGUUUGGUUUGGGAUUAGGUUUAGGGUUUGGUUAAAAUUAAG